AUUGAACGCUGGCGGCAUGCCUUACACAUGCAAGUCGAACGGCAGCACGGGUGCUUGCCCCUGGUGGCGAGUGGCGAACGGGUGAGUAAUACAUCGGAACAUGUCCUGUAGUGGGGGAUAGCCCGGCGAAAGCCGGAUUAAUACCGCAUACGAUCCACGGAUGAAAGCGGGGGCCCUUCGGGCCUCGCGCUAUAGGGUUGGCCGAUGGCUGAUUAGCUAGUUGGUGGGGUAAAGGCCUACCAAGGCGACGAUCAGUAGCUGGUCUGAGAGGACGACCAGCCACACUGGGACUGAGACACGGCCCAGACUCCUACGGGAGGCAGCAGUGGGGAAUUUUGGACAAUGGGCGAAAGCCUGAUCCAGCAAUGCCGCGUGUGUGAAGAAGGCCUUCGGGUUGUAAAGCACUUUUGUCCGGAAAGAAAUCCUUGACUCUAAUACAGUCGGGGGAUGACGGUACCGGAAGAAUAAGCACCGGCUAACUACGU
RNAcentral lists this ribosomal RNA (485 nucleotides) under uncultured bacterium. Its description in RNAcentral is "partial 16S ribosomal RNA". It matches the Rfam family "Bacterial small subunit ribosomal RNA", at positions 30 to 506 of the family's 1533-position model. The record is from RNAcentral.